CCGGAUGUAGCGCAGAGGCAGGCGCCCCGUCUCCGCAACGGGAUCACGCCGGUUCGAAUCCGGCCGUCCGGG
Molecule: transfer RNA, 72 nt
Filed under: Actinacidiphila glaucinigra
Lineage: Bacteria; Bacillati; Actinomycetota; Actinomycetes; Kitasatosporales; Streptomycetaceae
Description: Streptomyces glauciniger tRNA
Rfam family: tRNA
About the family: Transfer RNA (tRNA) molecules are approximately 80 nucleotides in length. Their secondary structure includes four short double-helical elements and three loops (D, anti-codon, and T loops).
Source: Rfam by way of RNAcentral